RNAcentral lists this ribosomal RNA (600 nucleotides) under Flavobacterium sp. RNAcentral describes it as "bacterial SSU rRNA". It matches the Rfam family "Bacterial small subunit ribosomal RNA", at positions 116 to 714 of the family's 1533-position model. The record is from RNAcentral. Lineage: Bacteria; Pseudomonadati; Bacteroidota; Flavobacteriia; Flavobacteriales; Flavobacteriaceae.
CGUAUGCAAUCUACCUUUUACAGAGGGAUAGCCCAGAGAAAUUUGGAUUAAUACCUCAUAGUAUAGUGACUCGGCAUCGAGAUACUAUUAAAGUCACAACGGUAAAAGAUGAGCAUGCGUCCCAUUAGCUAGUUGGUAAGGUAACGGCUUACCAAGGCUACGAUGGGUAGGGGUCCUGAGAGGGAGAUCCCCCACACUGGUACUGAGACACGGACCAGACUCCUACGGGAGGCAGCAGUGAGGAAUAUUGGACAAUGGGCGCAAGCCUGAUCCAGCCAUGCCGCGUGCAGGAUGACGGUCCUAUGGAUUGUAAACUGCUUUUGUACGAGAAGAAACACUCCUACGUGUAGGAGCUUGACGGUAUCGUAAGAAUAAGGAUCGGCUAACUCCGUGCCAGCAGCCGCGGUAAUACGGAGGAUCCAAGCGUUAUCCGGAAUCAUUGGGUUUAAAGGGUCCGUAGGCGGUUUAGUAAGUCAGUGGUGAAAGCCCAUCGCUCAACGGUGGAACGGCCAUUGAUACUGCUAAACUUGAAUUAUUAGGAAGUAACUAGAAUAUGUAGUGUAGCGGUGAAAUGCUUAGAGAUUACAUGGAAUACCAAUU